This 1765-nucleotide long non-coding RNA is filed under the name Canis lupus familiaris (dog). RNAcentral describes it as "lncRNA (ENSCAFG00030000490.1)". The record is from RNAcentral. Lineage: Eukaryota; Metazoa; Chordata; Mammalia; Carnivora; Canidae.
CUUCCGAGGAAGGAGGAACCACAUUUGAUUUUGGGGCACACCUCAGAACUGCUCGUUAACCAAAUCAAGAGAAGCACCGACGCACGACCAAAACCCUUUGCCAAACACACGACGGGGGAAGCGCUGGCGCAGGUGCCCCUGGGAAGACGCACGGCAACAUGCUGCUGGGACGUUGCUACAGCCCGCGGGAGUCUGGACAGUCCUCGUAAUCUCGGGGCUCUGACCAUCACAUCUGCUUCACCAGCGCACCCCACCUGGACAUCCCACCUGCACACCCCACCUGGACACCCCACCUGGACAUUCCACCUGUGCAUCUCCCCUGCACAUCCCACCUGGACAUCUCACCUGGACGUCUCACCUAGACAUCCCACCUGGACAUCCCACCUGUGCAUCCCACCUGGACAUCCCACCUGUGCAUCCCACCUGGAUAUCUCACCUGCACAUCCCACCUGUGCAUCCUACCUGGACAUUCCACCUGGACAUCCCACCUGUGCAUCCCACCUGUGCAUCCCACCUGCGCAUCCCACCUGCACAUCCCACCUGGAUGUCUCACCUGGACAUCCCACCUGUGCAUCCCACCUGGACAUCGCACUUGGACGUCUCACCUGGAUGUCUCACCUGGACGUCUCACCUGGAUGUCCCACCUGCACAUCCCACCUGGACAUCCCACCUGUGCAUCCCACCUGGAUAUCUCACCUGCACAUCCCACCUGUGCAUCCCACCUGGACAUCCCACCUGUGCAUCCCACCUGGACAUCCCACCUGCGCAUCCCAUCUGCACAUCCCACCUGUGCAUCCCACCUGGACAUCCCACUUGGACAUCUCACCUGGAUGUCCCACCUGCGCAUCCCACCUGGACAUCCCACCUGGACGUCCCACCUGGGCAUCCCACGUGGGCCUGGCAGUCUUCUCAUGGAAAGUGAUUGCUACUCUUGUCCCAGGUGCCCUGGGCAUUGAAACGCGACCCUCCUUCAUGCCGUGGGUUUCUCUUCCUGCACCUCAGUGAUGAGCCUCCUGAACCAGGUGCCAGCAGGCCCAACCCGAGCUGGCAAGGUGGCCCUUCCGUGUCCUCCCAACCCCUGUUCACACCACAGGUAUCGCCCCCGUGUGUGGUCAGUCGUGUGCAAGGCUGCCCACGGCUGCGGAGACCGUGCCUGAUUCGCCCCAGUGUCUUCGGCUCCAUCCCAGGGCCCGGCCCCCAGGGCACCCACAGACUUCUCUAAAUACUUCAAGGGGUAGCUCGAGUGGACGUGUGUGGUGCAUUCCGUGCCGCGUGGCUAACAACGGAGACCCCAGGACCCGUCCCCUGGGAAAUUCCCGUCCCAAGUGGACGUAGGGUUAACUGCCGGUUGGGGCCGAUACCUGACGCAGCUUCCACAUCCCAACACGGCACCAGCUCAGUCCCUUCCAGCUCCUGAGAGCAGAGCCUGACUCGGGUCUGCAGGGCUGCCGUCCUCUGGAGGCAUCGGGGCCCCCGCGUCCCAGUCUGUGAGCCCGGUCCCUUGUCCCGCCUUCGAGCCGCAACCCGGCAUCUUCAAAUCUUCGUCUCGCUCCUCAUCCUGUCCUCACCCCCUCUGUCUGACGUGACUCUUCUCCGUCCCGCUCACCGGACCCUGGUGGUCACGCUGGCCCCUCAGGAUCAUCCAGCAUAAUCCCCCCCGCCAGCCCUUGACUGCAUCCCAUCCGCAAAGCCCGUCUGCGGCGUAAGGACAUCCGCAGGGCCCAGGGAUUGGGACCUGGACACCUUAGGCCGCCUGCCGGAGUCC